UCUUUCUGUGAUUAUCGAAUACAUACAGCAACAACUUUCAUUUUUCCUUCGUGUAUAUUUCAUCUUCCCUAUAAUUUUACAUACAUACGUGAGCUUGUGUAGAGUGUGAAAAGGGCCUGAACCAACAUUUGGUAUCAGAGCCUGGGGCUCGUCGAGAAGCGGGUUUGAAGAUCGGAGGAAGCCUCCGCCGCCGGCGGGUGUGCCGGGUCGGUGGAGGGCAGUUGUAAAACAAGGUGUUGUUUCGGGGAUGUUUAACAGCGGAAGACGAAGACGUUAUGGUGUUCGGGUCAGCCGUUGUUUCGGGUAAGAACCGGUUGAGAUGAUAGGGGUGAUCGUGAUGAAUAUCGGCAUUCGUAGCUGUUAGCGGUGAUGAAAGAAAGAUGAUUCAGGGCUGUUCGGUUAUUAGUUACGGGUUUGAGCAACUGGCAUAUAUUCGGUGACAACAGCAGGAUUUGAAGUGCGUUGAUCGGCUUGGUUCGUGACAAGAGUAGACCGGCGUGGUGCGUGAAAAGCGGGCAGAAUGGAUCCGUCAAAGCAGGUGGGUUUGGAUUCGUCUCGUUUGGCAAGGUGAGAAAACGGAAGAAGCGGGUGGCUUGUUUUCUUUGUCGGUGUAGAGCCUUUUGAACAAGGGUGAUCGGAAAAAUGUAAAGAAAAAAACACGGGUGUAAACAUAAUGGCAUUGGAGUUCAAAUCGGGUGACUCGGAUGUGGCCGGGGAAAGGUCGUUGAUCCGUGAUGAGUCAAGAUGUGAAUAGACGGUUCCAACAGGAUGCCAUGUGAGAUGUUGCAAGUGUGGUGAAUUUAUUAUGGCUGAUCCGAGAAGGCUUUGGGCAUGACCACGGUUGAAGUUCGAGUGUCCGUGAAAAGUCAGAGAUGGUUCGGAAAAAACGGUGAUUCGAGUGGCAUAAACAACCGAUUAAGGGGGUGAAUGUUGGGUUAAUCGGGUUCGUUUACAAGGUCGUGGGUCGACACAUUAUUGUUCACGUUUCAAAUGAAAGUUUACGUGAGGAUAUGCAUGGUGCACAUGGUUGAAGAGUGGGUCUCAUUGUACGUACUUAUUUCCUAGGAAGACUUGGUUUAUUUCGGUUUGUUUGUUAGUGUAGUAGGCUAUAUAUAUAGCUCAAUUAUUUAAUGAAAGAUACACCCAUCUUUCUGU
This 1155-nucleotide long non-coding RNA is filed under the name Helianthus annuus (common sunflower). RNAcentral's name for it is "hypothetical non coding rna". Lineage: Eukaryota; Viridiplantae; Streptophyta; Magnoliopsida; Asterales; Asteraceae. The record is from RNAcentral.